UACGGAGGAUGCAAGCGUUAUCCGGAAUGAUUGGGCGUAAAGCGUCCGCAGGUGGCUGUGUAAGUCUGCUGUCAAAGAGCAAAGCUCAACUUUGUAAAGGCAGUGGAAACUACACGGCUAGAGUGCGUUCGGGGCAGAGGGAAUUCCUGGUGUAGCGGUGAAAUGCGUAGAGAUCGGGAAGAACACCGGUGGCGAAGGCGCUCUGCUAGGCCGCAACUGACACUGAGGGACGAAAGCUAGGGGAGCGAAUGGG
Molecule: ribosomal RNA, 253 nt
Filed under: uncultured bacterium
Lineage: Bacteria
Description: partial 16S ribosomal RNA
Rfam family: Bacterial small subunit ribosomal RNA
Source: RNAcentral